Molecule: ribosomal RNA, 340 nt
Filed under: unidentified
Description: Heteropterna sp. NB-2020 partial 16S ribosomal RNA
Source: RNAcentral
UUUUUUAAUUGAAAACUUGUAUGAAUGGUUGAAUGAAAUAUAAGCUGUUUCAUAAAAAUUUAAUUAAAAUUUUAUUUUUUAGUUAAAAAGCUAAAAUAAUAUUAUAAGACGAGAAGACCCUAUAAAGUUUUAUAAAUUAAUUUUAAUAAUUUAUAUAAUUAUUUUAAGAUUUUUUUGGUUAAUUUAUUUUAUUGGGGUGAUAAUAAAAUUUAAAAAACUUUUAUUUUUUAAAACAUAAAUUAAUGAAUUGAUGAUCCAUUAUUAAUGAUUAAAAAUUUAAAUUACUUUAGGGAUAACAGCGUUAUUUUUUUUUUUAAUUCCAAUUUAUAAAAAAGUUUGC